CCUACGGGAGGCAGCAGUGAGGAAUAUUGGUCAAUGGGCGUAAGCCUGAACCAGCCAAGUCGCGUGAGGGAUGACGGUUCUAUGGGUCGUAAACCUCUUUUAUAAGGGAAUAAAGUGUGGGACGUGUCCUAUUUUGUAUGUACCUUAUGAAUAAGGAUCGGCUAACUCCGUGCCAGCAGCCGCGGUAAUACGGAGGAUCCGAGCGUUAUCCGGAUUUAUUGGGUUUAAAGGGUGCGUAGGUGGCUUUUUAAGUCAGCGGUGAAAGUUUGUGGCUCAACCGUAAAAUUGCAAUUGAUACGGGGGGCCUUGAGUAUAUUUGAGGCAGGCGGAAUGCGUGGUGUAGCGGUGAAAUGCUUAGAUAUCACGCAGAACUCCGAUUGCGAAGGCAGCCUGCUAAGCCACGACUGACGUUGAUGCACGAAAGUGUGGGGAUCAAACAGGAUUAGAUACCCUAGUAGUC
This 460-nucleotide ribosomal RNA is filed under the name uncultured bacterium. RNAcentral describes it as "partial 16S ribosomal RNA". It matches the Rfam family "Bacterial small subunit ribosomal RNA", at positions 338 to 795 of the family's 1533-position model. The record is from RNAcentral.